AUAUCAAAACUUACUUUGUCAAGGAAUAUUUCUUUGUAUGGAUUAGAGUUAGAUGAAUCGUCAACCGUUUCAUAAGCUGUAUAAAAUCUCUCUCCUUGAGGUCUAAAAACGUUUCAAGGUCAUCGAUUCCUUCAGCAACUGGAAUAAAUGGAAAAGGCUGGUUAUUUUUAGGUCGUAUUUUGUGUGAAAUGUAAUGUACUUAUAAUACUAAUAAUCUUGAUUAAAAAAUCGUCGCGAUAUGAACUUCUUAUCAUUGUUCUCUGCUGUCCAUAAGGAAAAUGUAAAAUUCAUCGUAACCGACGGUAUUACAGGUUUGAAGCAAAAGGCAGACUGUGUUAUCAAAUUGCACCAGUUCUUGUAUUAUACCGUAAGAUGGAAAAAACAUAUUGUGAUGAGUUUUCAGGGCUACAAUCAGAUUUUUUCGAAAUUCUAUUCCAUUCAAAGUAACAGAUUUCGGACAACUUACAACUGCAAUAUGUUGUGGUAAGAAUACAUGGCUUUGUGUAUGUUCUUUAAGCUUCACUGGUCCCGAUGAGAAAGUGAGUUUAUCGCGGAAAGGAUUAUCGAUCACAUCUACCACCAUUCUAAAGCAUUGCCGCUCUCCUAUGCUUUUGCAGAUGUUUUUGAAAUUCCGACAAGUAGCUGCCUGCCCUUUUAGAGGUUUAUUUUUUUGUUCAAAUGUUAAACAAUUAUACUGCUUCAUGCUUCCACUUUUUCGUAUACAUUCAACAUAAUGCAAUAGAUGAUGACUUUUGUUAAUGCGUUUUUCAAAGUUUUUGUAGAAUACAUCGUUAUAAAUACGUAUAUGUUCAUCUAACCAUAUUAACAUGUCUUCGGAUACUGUUGGAGAUAACAAAAUUCUGCUAAUAUUAAUUCAAUGGCCGAUCAUUUGCAUUAGUUCACAUUCCGAUGAAACUUUAUGGCCAAAUAAAAAAGG
This is a long non-coding RNA of Wyeomyia smithii (pitcher-plant mosquito), 937 nucleotides long. RefSeq lists it as uncharacterized. NCBI's taxonomy places the organism in Eukaryota, Metazoa, Arthropoda, Insecta, Diptera, Culicidae. The transcript is spliced from 3 exons. The record is from RefSeq and is a predicted model, not a curated record.